CCUACGGGCGGCAGCAGUGGGGAAUAUUGGACAAUGGGCGAAAGCCUGAUCCAGCCAUGCCGCGUGUGUGAAGAAGGCCUUCGGGUUGUAAAGCACUUUCAGUGGGGAAGAAAGCCUUGGGGCUAAUACCCUCGAGGAAGGACAUCACCCACAGAAGAAGCACCGGCUAACUCCGUGCCAGCAGCCGCGGUAAUACGGAGGGUGCGAGCGUUAAUCGGAAUUACUGGGCGUAAAGCGCGCGUAGGCGGUCUGAUAAGCCGGUUGUGAAAGCCCCGGGCUCAACCUGGGAACGGCAUCCGGAACUGUCCGGCUAGAGUGCAGGAGAGGAAGGUAGAAUUCCCGGUGUAGCGGUGAAAUGCGUAGAGAUCGGGAGGAAUACCAGUGGCGAAGGCGGCCUUCUGGACUGACACUGACGCUGAGGUGCGAAAGCGUGGGUAGCAAACAGGAUUAGAUACCCUUGUAGUC
This 465-nucleotide ribosomal RNA is filed under the name Vreelandella stevensii. RNAcentral's name for it is "partial 16S ribosomal RNA". It matches the Rfam family "Bacterial small subunit ribosomal RNA", at positions 338 to 795 of the family's 1533-position model. Lineage: Bacteria; Pseudomonadati; Pseudomonadota; Gammaproteobacteria; Oceanospirillales; Halomonadaceae. The record is from RNAcentral.